AUGGUCAGACUUUCUAAAGCAUCACAGGACCUAUCGAGAAACUCCAGGAUGGUUUCAUCUGGUUUGCUGCCAAAAGGGAAGACUCAGAGAAACCCAGAGAGAGGACGGGGGAGGGAUCCCGUUCUCCCUCCCUCCUCUGAACUGAGAGGGAAAGUUUUCGCACUGGCACUAGGAAUGUGCCUCUCUCCUUCAGCAGGAGGUGCCCUGCAUACCAGGGGACUCCCUUGCCUCUCAUCCACUCGCCCUGACCGAAACUCUGUGACACUCUGCCCUCGUCAGCACACAGGUAAGCAUGGAUGCACUUUUCAAGUGUCGUUAAACACAGAAACAGCACAGGAGAGACGGAUUCCUGAACAUUUCAGCUAACUGUGAUGUCAGGUCUGUUUUAUGUUCUAGUUCUCGGGGUUUUGGUUUUGUGAUUUAAUGGGAUUUAAAAGCUGCAGAAAAUUAACUCAUAUAAAUAAAGGUAGCAUCAGAUUUACAGGUUAUCCCCUCAUAUCUCCUCUGGUGCACCUGCAGAUCUCCUGAUCUGCUUUGUACUCCGGCAGGUAGUUUCACUUUAGGUUGAUCAUUAACUGCAGCCUCACCAGGUGGAGAAAACAUCUUUCAGAUAAAGAUCUGCACAAUAAACACUUGUGUGUGUGUGUGUGUGUGUGUGUGUGUGCGUGUGCGUGCGUGCGUGCGUGCGUCCGUCCGUCCGUCGAAACGCUGAAGCAUGUGGAGAAUGUGUGCAGAAAACUGAGCAAUCUGGUCGACACAUCGACAUGAAAACUUUCAUUUCCUCCAACUGAAUGUGGAAACAGCCAACGUUCUGCUGCGAUGAGCUCCAUCGAUACAAACCUUUCACCAUGGCAGGCUCACACAGUCAUUUGGAAUGACCAGUCACUCUCGGGAUGGAAAACAGGUUUUUAAGCUGAUUUCCUUCUGAUUCAGUCCAGUUUCAAAACUUUCAAAGGCCCGAGUAUGUCACACACAGAGGUUUGUGUACAAGGUUGUUUUAAUACUAUUUACAGAUCAUUUUUCCUAAAUUUCAACAGCUAAAGGCACCUGAUGCUGUCUGUAAGAUGUCUGUUUGCACCAGAUUAAUGCUGUUGGCAGCUGGUUGUAAAAUCCUAAAUCACAUAUAGAUUUGCCUGUGAUGGGCUGAAGAUGUCCAGGACGUCCCCUGUCUCUAGCCUGGAGACCGUUGCAGUUGGACACCAGCUCCCUGAGACCCUAGUCAUAUCAUAUCACACUACACUGAUAACAUUUUUGCAAUCAAAGAUGCAAAUGAUACGUGCCUAUUGGUGCAGGUGAGCCACUGGGUCCCUAAAUAAUAUCUAAAUAAUGUGGUUAUUAUUGUGAUUAACAUAAAGCUCAUCAUGUUUGUUGUUAUUUAGCUAUAAUGUUUGUUAUUAAGUUUAUUAUGUUUGUUUUUUGUCUUUAUUAUUGUUUCUUGCAAUGCUUGUUGUUGUUACGUUUGUUGUUAUAAUGCUCAUUAUGUUUAUUAGGUUUAUUAAAGUGUCAGUUAAUAAUGUAACAUUAUGUUUGUUUCUAUGUUUAUUAUGUUUGUUAUUGUGUUACUUAUGUUUAUUAUGUUUGUUACAAUGUUUCUUAUUGUUUUUAUUGUUAUGUUUCUUUUUAUGUUUAUUACUAUAUUCAUUAUGCCUAUUAUGUUUGCUAUUGUUGUUAUUAUUAUAAUAAUGUAUAGUAUUGUGUUUAUUGUUAUGUUUGUUAUUGUCUUCAUUAUUAUGUUCAUUGUUUAUUUUUAUUAAUAUUAUUUUAAUAUUAUGAUUAUUGUCCUUUUGUUAUUAUUAUUAUCAUUAUUAUUAUUAUUAUGUUUGUUUGUUUGUUUGUUAAAGAAAAAUACACAUAGAAAUAGUGUUCCCUCACCUGGAUGCAGGUCACCGGGGUCCCCCUUCUUAUGGGCUCACCACUCAUGGGAGGAACCAAAGAGGUUGGGUGCAGUGUGUGACAGGUGGUAGUCGAGGGCGGGGACCCUGGCAGUCUGAUCCUCGGCUACAGAAGCUGGCUCUUGGUACGUGGAAUGUCACCUCUCUGGCGGGGAUCGAGCCUGAGUUGGUGUGUGAUGUUGAGAGGUUCCGACUAGAUAUAGUCAGACUCACCUCGAUGAUUGGCUCUGGCUCCGGAACCAGUUUCCUUGAGAGGGGCUGGACACUCUGGAGUUGCUCCCACUGAGAGGAGCUGAGCAGGGGUGGGAAUACUAGUUACCUCCCAGAAAGAAAGAAAGAAAGAAAGAAAGAAAGAAAGAAAGAAAGAAAGAAAGAAAGAAAGAAAGAAAAUAAUCCUUUAUAUAGCGCUUCUCAAGAUAAAAAUCACGAGGUGCAUCACAAAAAAACUUUUCCAAAAAUUAUUAAAAAUACAUUCAAAAUUAGAGAAAAAAUUGUGAUAAAAAUAAUUAUGUAAGGAAAAGGAGGGAGAACAUGAAUAGGAAAGAAGGAAAUCAGUGGAUUGCGGAGAAAGAUGGGAUAAGUUUAAAUAGUGGAAUAAGGAGAGGGUGAUGAAAGUCACACCAAAGCCUGAACAGGUGAGUUUAAAGGAGACCACUGAGUCCACUGAUCUCAAGCUCAGGGGGAGAGAGGUCCAGAGUCUGGGGGCCACAGCAGCAAAUGAUCUGUCACCUUUGGUCUUUAGCCUGGUGCUGCACAACCAGUAGGCUUUGAUCACUGGACCUCAGGGACCUGCUGGGGGUGUAGGGACUGAGAAGAUCACCAAUGUAAGAUGGUGCUUGUCCAUGUAAGGCCCUAUAGACCAGAACCAGGAUCUUGAAAUGAACCCUGAAGUUGACUGGCAGCCAGUGAAGCUGGAGGAGAAGCGGGGUGAUGUGGGUGUGUUUGGAGGACUUGGUCAGAAGCCGAGCACAGGCAUUCUGAACCACCUGUAGACGGUUCAGGGAGGUUCUGCUCAGACACGUGAAAAGAGAGUUACAGUAGUCUAAGCGUGAGGAGAUGAAGGUGUGGAGAACUGUCU
Nothobranchius furzeri (turquoise killifish) is the source of this 2970-nucleotide long non-coding RNA. NCBI's taxonomy places the organism in Eukaryota, Metazoa, Chordata, Actinopteri, Cyprinodontiformes, Nothobranchiidae. The record is from Ensembl.